Perkinsus olseni is the source of this 75-nucleotide non-coding RNA. The record is from the annotation of a GenBank genome assembly. NCBI's taxonomy places the organism in Eukaryota, Perkinsozoa, Perkinsida, Perkinsidae.
GGCUGUGCGGUGUAGUGGUGGCGAUUCUCGCUUAGGGUGCGAGGAGGUCCCGAGUCCAAUUCCUCGGCACAGCCC